This 580-nucleotide ribosomal RNA is filed under the name uncultured bacterium. RNAcentral's name for it is "partial 16S ribosomal RNA". It matches the Rfam family "Bacterial small subunit ribosomal RNA", at positions 355 to 928 of the family's 1533-position model. The record is from RNAcentral.
UGGGGAAUUUUGGACAAUGGGGGAAACCCUGAUCCAGCCAUCCCGCGUGUGCGAUGAAGGCCUUCGGGUUGUAAAGCACUUUUGGCAGGAAAGAAACGUCGCGGGUUAAUACCCCGCGAAACUGACGGUACCUGCAGAAUAAGCACCGGCUAACUACGUGCCAGCAGCCGCGGUAAUACGUAGGGUGCAAGCGUUAAUCGGAAUUACUGGGCGUAAAGCGUGCGCAGGCGGUUCGGAAAGAAAGAUGUGAAAUCCCAGAGCUUAACUUUGGAACUGCAUUUUUAACUACCGGGCUAGAGUGUGUCAGAGGGAGGUGGAAUUCCGCGUGUAGCAGUGAAAUGCGUAGAUAUGCGGAGGAACACCGAUGGCGAAGGCAGCCUCCUGGGAUAACACUGACGCUCAUGCACGAAAGCGUGGGGAGCAAGCAGGAUUAGAUACCCUGGUAGUCCACGCCCUAAACGAUGUCAACUAGCUGUUGGGGCCUUCGGGCCUUGGUAGCGCAGCUAACGCGUGAAGUUGACCGCCUGGGGAGUACGGUCGCAAGAUUAAAACUCAAAGGAAUUGACGGGGGUCAUAGCUG